AUUGAACGCUGGCGGCAGGCCUAACACAUGCAAGUCGGACGGUAGCACAGAGGAGCUUGCUCCUCGGGUGACGAGUGGCGGACGGGUGAGUAAUGUCUGGGGAUCUGCCCGAUAGAGGGGGGUAACCACUGGAAACGGUGGCUAAUACCGCAUAACGUCGCCAGCCCAAAGAGGGGGACCUUCGGGCCUCUCACUAUCGGAUGAACCCAGAUGGGAUUAGCUAGUAGGCGGGGUAACGGCCCACCUAGGCGACGAUCCCUAGCUGGUCUGAGAGGAUGACCAGCCACACCGGAACUGAGACACGGUCCAGACUCCUACGGGAGGCAGCAGUGGUGAAUAUUGCACAAUGGGCGCAAGCCUGAUGCAGCCAUGCCGCGUGUAUGAAGAAGGCCUUCGGGUUGUAAAGUACUUUCAGCGGGGAGGAAGGCGAUGUGGUUAAUAACCGCGUCGAUUGACGUUACCCGCAGAAGAAGCACCGGCUAACUCCGUGCCAGCAGCCGCGGUAA
Molecule: ribosomal RNA, 506 nt
Filed under: uncultured bacterium
Lineage: Bacteria
Description: partial 16S ribosomal RNA
Rfam family: Bacterial small subunit ribosomal RNA
Source: RNAcentral